Pseudophryne corroboree (corroboree frog) is the source of this 126-nucleotide small nucleolar RNA. RefSeq annotates it as small nucleolar RNA SNORA63. The transcript has a single exon. The record is from RefSeq and is a predicted model, not a curated record. Lineage: Eukaryota; Metazoa; Chordata; Amphibia; Anura; Myobatrachidae.
AAGCAGGUUAAGUUACAAUAUGGCAGCGUGGUGCUAUGUUGUCGUUCCCCCUGCUAAAAUUAACCUGUUUCCUGCUAUCCCUGACUGACUUCACUGUGGCAGGCAGGGACUCUUGGUCUCGUACAG